AGAGUUUGAUCCUGGCUCAGAAUCAACGCUGGCGGCGUGCCUCAGACAUGCAAGUCGAACGCGAAAGAGGGCUUCGGCCCUCGAGUAGAGUGGCGCACGGGUGAGUAACACGUGGGUAAUUCACCUUCGGGUGGGGAAUAACAGCCGGAAACGGCUGCUAAUACCGCAUAAUGCAGCGGCUCCUAAUGGAGAAUAGUUGUUAAAGCGGGGGAUUCUUCGGAACCUCGCGCCUGAAGAGAAGCCUGCGGCGGAUUAGCUAGUUGGUGAGGUAAUGGCUCACCAAGGCUGCGAUCCGUAACCGGCCUGAGAGGGCGGUCGGUCACACUGACGCUGGAAUACGGGUCAGACUCCUACGGGAGGCAGCAGUCGGGAAUUUUGGGCAAUGGGCGCAAGCCUGACCCAGCAACGCCGCGUGAAGGAUGAAAUCCCUCGGGAUGUAAACUUCGCAAGAACGGGAAGAAUAAGCCUGAGCGAAUAGCUGCGGGCGAUGACGGUACCGUUUGUAAGCUCCGGCUAACUCCGUGCCAGCAGCCGCGGUAAUACGGGGGGAGCAAGCGUUGUUCGGAUUUACUGGGCGUAAAGGGCGCGUAGGCGGCCACCGCAAGUCACUUGUGAAAUCUCCGGGCUUAACUCGGCAGCGGUCAAGUGAUACUGCGGGGCUAGAGUGCGGAAGGGGCAACUGGAAUUCUCGGUGUAGCGGUGAAAUGCGUAGAUAUCGAGAGGAACACUGCGGCGAAGGCGGGUUGCUGGGCCGACACUGACGCUGAGGCGCGAAAGCUAGGGGAGCGAACGGGAUUAGAUACCCCGGUAGUCCUAGCCUUAAACGAUGGAUGCUUGGUGUCUGGGGUUUGAAAGUCCCCGGGUGCCGUCGCUAACGCUGUAAGCAUCCCGCCUGGGGAGUACGGUCGCAAGACUGAAACUCAAAGGAAUUGACGGGGACCCGCACAAGCGGUGGAGCAUGUGGUUUAAUUCGACGCAACGCGAAGAACCUUACCUAGGCUGGACAUGCACGUAGUAGGAGGGUGAAAGCCCAACGAGGUAGCAAUACCAGCGUGCUCAGGUGCUGCAUGGCUGUCGUCAGCUCGUGCCGUGAGGUGUUGGGUUAAGUCCCGCAACGAGCGCAACCCCUGUCUUCAGUUACCAACGGGUCAUGCCGGGAACUCUGGAGAGACUGCCCAGGAGAACGGGGAGGAAGGUGGGGAUGACGUCAAGUCAGCAUGGCCUUUAUGCCUAGGGCUACACACGUGCUACAAUGGCCGGCACAAAGCGCUGCAAACCCGCAAGGGGGAGCCAAUCGCAAAAAACCGGCCUCAGUUCGGAUCGAGGUCUGCAACUCGACCUCGUGAAGGCGGAAUCGCUAGUAAUCCCGGAUCAGCACGCCGGGGUGAAUACGUUCCCGGGCCUUGUACACACCGCCCGUCACACCACGAAAGUUCGUUGUACCUGAAGUCGUCGACGCCAACCGCAAGGAGGCAGACGCCCACGGUAUGACCGAUGAUUGGGGUGAAGUCGUAACAAGGUAGCCGU
Molecule: ribosomal RNA, 1527 nt
Filed under: uncultured bacterium
Lineage: Bacteria
Description: bacterial SSU rRNA
Rfam family: Bacterial small subunit ribosomal RNA
Source: RNAcentral